Molecule: long non-coding RNA, 409 nt
Filed under: Equus asinus (donkey)
Lineage: Eukaryota; Metazoa; Chordata; Mammalia; Perissodactyla; Equidae
Description: lncRNA (ENSEASG00005034748.1)
Source: RNAcentral
CUGCCCUCCCCUCUCCAGCCCUCGCUUCACCAGAAAGCCCCGUUCCUGCCCUCCUUGUAAUGGACCGGGUCCUGGUCUUUCUGUUGGAGCCCUGCCUCCCUCACUGGGCAGAGAGCAGGGGGCACUCUGACCUACACCCGCUCCCCCAACUCCUGGCAGGUGACAGGGGCCGCACAAACAGGUGUGUCAGCACUGCACUGAAGGGAGGGAGCCUAGGGGACACCUUCUACCCCACACCUCUGUGCCACCCCUUGCCCAGGACCCCCAGACAUCAGGCAGGGUGCCCCACUGGACCCUGGACCCGGGCUCUGCCACCGCAGGCCAGCGAGAACCCUCGGGACUUGGUUUCCUCAUCUAAGAUGGGGGCGGGGGUGUGUGUGUGUGUGGACUGUGUGCCAACCUAGGUUCA